GGGGAUGUGGUUUAGUGGUAUAAUGCUUCCUUAGCAACUCGAGCUUCACAAGCCUGAGUUCCGAGUCAUGGAAGAGGUCCCGAGUUCGAUUCUUGGCGUCUCCA
The sequence is a transfer RNA, 104 nucleotides long. It matches the Rfam family "tRNA". From Rfam's summary of the family: Transfer RNA (tRNA) molecules are approximately 80 nucleotides in length. Their secondary structure includes four short double-helical elements and three loops (D, anti-codon, and T loops). Further hydrogen bonds mediate the characteristic L-shaped molecular structure. tRNAs have two regions of fundamental functional importance: the anti-codon, which is responsible for specific mRNA codon recognition, and the 3' end, to which the tRNAs corresponding amino acid is attached (by aminoacyl-tRNA synthetases). tRNAs cope with the degeneracy of the genetic code in two manners: having more than one tRNA (with a specific anti-codon) for a particular amino acid; and 'wobble' base-pairing, i.e. permitting non-standard base-pairing at the 3rd anti-codon position. The record is from Rfam.